Molecule: non-coding RNA, 79 nt
Organism: Merluccius polli (Benguela hake)
Lineage: Eukaryota; Metazoa; Chordata; Actinopteri; Gadiformes; Merlucciidae
Source: the annotation of a GenBank genome assembly
GGUCCUGACUAGCUCAACUGGUAGAGCAUGGCACUGAAGUUGCCAGGUUGAGGGGUUCGGUUCCCACUGGGACCUCCCA